Molecule: ribosomal RNA, 448 nt
Filed under: Odontocheila cayennensis
Lineage: Eukaryota; Metazoa; Arthropoda; Insecta; Coleoptera; Carabidae
Description: 16S ribosomal RNA
Source: RNAcentral
UAAGGUCUAACCUGCCCAAUGAAAUUUAAAUGGCCGCAGUAUUUUGACUGUGCAAAGGUAGCAUAAUCAUUAGUUUUUUAAUUGAAAGCUUGUAUGAAGGGUUGGACGAAAUUAAAUCUGUCUUAAUUUAAUUUUAAUUAGAAUUUAACUUUUAAGUUAAAAGGCUUAAAUAUAUAUAAAAGACGAGAAGACCCUAUAGAUCUUUAUUUAAUUAAUAUUUUAUUAAUUUAGGAUUAGGUUAAUUUAAAAUUUUGGUUAAAUUUUAUUGGGGUAAUAUAAAGAUUAAAGUAAUUCUUUUUAUUUAAAUCAUUUAUUUAUGAAUAAUUGAUCCAUUAUUAUUGAUUGUAAGAUUAAGUUACCUUAGGGAUAACAGCGUAAUUUUUUUAGAGAGCUCUUAUCGAUAAAAAAGUUUGCGACCUCGAUGUUGGAUUAAAAAUUAUCUUGGGUG